AUGUGCCUUGGUCUCCUGUGCUGUGUGGCCCUUUUCAUCUGGGGAGCAGGCUCCAUGGACGCUGAAGUCACUCAGAGUCCAAGUCAUCUGGUCAAAGGAAAAGGCCAGAAAGCAAAGAUGGAUUGUGUCCCCAUAAAAGGACAUAUUAAUGUUUAUUGGUACCGCAGGAAGCUGGAAGAAGCAUUAGAGUUCUUGGUUUACUUACAGAAGCAAGACAUUGUGGAAGACACAGAAGUGUUCAAAGAGCAAUUUUCAGCUCAGUGCCCCCAAAACUCGCCCUGCAGCCUGGAAAUCAAGUCCACCAAGGCAGCGGACUCAGCUCUGUAUUUCUGUGCCAGCAGCCAGUCCACAGUGCUGCACGUCAGCUCUUCUUAG
Molecule: non-coding RNA, 375 nt
Organism: Capra hircus (goat)
Lineage: Eukaryota; Metazoa; Chordata; Mammalia; Artiodactyla; Bovidae
Source: the annotation of a RefSeq genome assembly